RNAcentral lists this unclassified non-coding RNA (378 nucleotides) under uncultured Prochlorococcus sp. RNAcentral describes it as "partial 16S-23S ribosomal RNA intergenic spacer". The record is from RNAcentral. Lineage: Bacteria; Bacillati; Cyanobacteriota; Cyanophyceae; Synechococcales; Prochlorococcaceae.
UCGUUGUGUGAUGUGAUUUAGAAUUUAAGUUUGCUGGCAGACCCUAGCUUCUUAUCAUUCCAGGACUCAAUCAAUUGAGAUGAGGUUGAUAGGACGCUGGGCUCACUGUAAUUCGCAAGAAUUGCAGAGAUGUUCAGUAGAACCUUGACAACUGCAUAGGUAAGUCUGGAAAGAAUAAAGCAUCUCAUGGAUGCAUGAUUCUUGGGAAUCAACUGAUGCAAUCUGCGCGAGCAGAGAGCUGAGGUUGAUGAACGAGAAUGAUGUUUGAUUCUUGAGUCAAGAGCCGAGACUCUAUAGCGUUCUUUCGAUGUCAUCGAGGCAUCGAGAGUUUGAUUGGUGAUUCAAACCAUUUUCAAUGACAAACAAUUCAGUUUAACU